This 432-nucleotide ribosomal RNA is filed under the name uncultured bacterium. RNAcentral describes it as "partial 16S ribosomal RNA". It matches the Rfam family "Bacterial small subunit ribosomal RNA", at positions 29 to 506 of the family's 1533-position model. The record is from RNAcentral.
GCGAACGCUGGCGGCAGGCCUCACACAUGCAAGUCGCACGCACCUUUCGGGGUUAGUGGCGGACGGGUGAGUAACACGUGGGAACGUGCCUUUAGGUUCGGAAUAACUCAGGGAAACUUGUGCUAAUACCGAAUGUGCCCUUCGGGGGAAAGAUUAAUCGCCUUUAGAGCGGCCCGCGUCUGAUUAGCUAGUUGGUUGAGGUAAUGGCUCACCAAGGCGACGAUCAGUAGCUGGUCUGAGAGGAUGAUCAGCCACAUUGGGACUGAGACACGGCCCAAACUCCUACGGGAGGCAGCAGUGGGGAAUCUUGCGCAAUGGGCGAAAGCCUGACGCAGCCAUGCCGCGUGAAUGAUGAAGGUCUUAGGAUUGUAAAAUUCUUUCACCGGGGACGAUAAUGACGGUACCCGGAGAAGAAGCCCCGGCUAACUGCGU